UGGGGAAUAUUGGACAAUGGGCGAAAGCCUGAUCCAGCCAUGCCGCGUGUGUGAAGAAUGUCUUCGGAUUGUAAAGCACUUUAAGUUGGGAGGAAGGGCAGUAAGCGAAUACCUUGCUGUUUUGACGUUACCGACAGAAUAAGCACCGGCUAACUCUGUGCCAGCAGCCGCGGUAAUACAGAGGGUGCAAGCGUUACUCGGAAUUACUGGGCGUAAAGCGCGCGAAGGUGGUUCGUUAAGUUGAAUGUGAAAGCCCCGGGCUCAACCUGGGAACUGCAUGCAAAACUGGCGAGCUAGGGUAGGGCAGAGGGUGGUGGAAUUUCCUGUGUAGCGGUGAAAUGCGUAGAUAUAGGAAGGAACACCAGUGGCGGAGGCGACCACCAGAACUCAUACUGACACUGAGGUGCGAAAGCGUGGGGAGCAAACAGG
RNAcentral lists this ribosomal RNA (429 nucleotides) under Pseudomonadota bacterium. RNAcentral describes it as "Proteobacteria bacterium partial 16S ribosomal RNA". It matches the Rfam family "Bacterial small subunit ribosomal RNA", at positions 355 to 776 of the family's 1533-position model. Lineage: Bacteria; Pseudomonadati; Pseudomonadota. The record is from RNAcentral.